Triticum aestivum (bread wheat) is the source of this 905-nucleotide long non-coding RNA. RefSeq lists it as uncharacterized. The transcript is spliced from 2 exons. The record is from RefSeq and is a predicted model, not a curated record. Lineage: Eukaryota; Viridiplantae; Streptophyta; Magnoliopsida; Poales; Poaceae.
GGCCGCCGCUCACGCUCGCAUCGAAGCAGGAGGCCGCGCUCGAUCCCCUUUUCCCUCUCUUCGAUCUCCCUUGCAGCGCCCCAGUCCGCUUGAUCCCCUGUCUCUCCUGCCGUUUCCCUCGACCCUCUCCCUCUGGUUCUCCUAGCGCACGCAGAGGGGCCACGCAUCGUGCCAGAUCCAUGGUCUUCCCUUCCUCUCGUUCCGGUUCUCCUCGCUGCACCUUCCCGAGCUGGAGCCUCCACCUCCGUCCCAUUGUCACUGCGGCCCCGUUGCUUCCCUGCCUCUCUAUUGCGCCAGGGACUCGAGCCCUCCACCAGCAGGACCUUCCAUGGACGCCCAGGUGCACUGCUCCAACCCAUGCCUCAGGCGGCCUUGCCAUUGUCGUCGCCUAGCCAGGAGUCCACCUGAUCUGGACGCCCACAGACCUCCGGCCAUCUUCGGUUGCGGCCUGCUGGCCUCGUCGCUCCUCUUGUCACUGCCAAGACGCGGCAGCCAGGGAAGCCCAAGACCGCCUUCGUGGUUUUCGCCAAGUUCGUCCACCGCCAAACGAGUCGGAGAUCCAUCGAUGCAUCUCCGUGUGGAACCUGACAAGUACAACUGGUUGCCCCAAGCAACACACCGCAAGCGCCAAGUACCUCUACCGACGGCCCAGAACAUCUACGGAAUGCGUACCACUACACGGGAUUCCUCGGAUGCGUCAAGUUCCUCGCCGUGACCCCAAACAUCUACGGAAACUCAUGCAAUUAUGAACGCAAAAGACUACCGUCGACCCCAAGUUACUUGGAUUCGCCAAGUUCCUCUUUGAAACAUGUACCACUACCGUCGCCAAUAUCGCGAGUACCUCUAUCGUCGUCAUGUACCCCUACUUCCACUACUGUCGCAAGAACAACUACUUCCUCUACGAA